UACGAAGGGGGCGAGCGUUGUUCGGAAUUACUGGGCGUAAAGGGCGCGUAGGCGGCGACCCAAGUCAGAUGUGAAAGUCCUGGGCUUAACCUGGGGACUGCAUUUGAUACUGGGUUGCUUGAAUUCGGGAGAGGAUAGCGGAAUUCCCAGUGUAGAGGUGAAAUUCGUAGAUAUCGAGAGGAACACCGGUGGCGAAGGCGGCCUUCUGGACAGUGACUGACGCUGAGACGCGAAAGCGUGGGGAGCAAACAGG
Molecule: ribosomal RNA, 253 nt
Filed under: uncultured bacterium
Lineage: Bacteria
Description: partial 16S ribosomal RNA
Rfam family: Bacterial small subunit ribosomal RNA
Source: RNAcentral